ACCCGGCAGCGGCCAGGCCCCGCUGCUCCUGGACUCAGAGAAUGGGCUUCUCUGUGUGUGCUUGUUUGCUUUGGUUUAAAGCUAAAAAAAAAAUGAUUUCACACAUAAUUAGGGCUGUGGCAGCAAGAUUGUGUUCAAGGUACUUUUACUGGAAAUAUCAAGAGGGGGACAAGGGAGGGUUGUGUUCCUUUUCCAGCUAGGUUGUGAGGAGGAGGAGAAGGAGUGAGGAGCUGGAAGGAUGGGACAACAGGCGGUGUUCAAGGUGGGGAGCAGUUUUCCCGGAGGCAGACCCAGUGUGGAUUGUGGAGGACACCUCAUAGGGAGACGAGGCAAGGGAGUGGAUGAAGGAGGAGAAGGAUGCAGGCUGAGGCCCCUGGCCAUAGGAGAAGCCGAGAGAAAGGGAAGAGAAACAGGAGAGCCGCUGGACACUUCUGCUGGAGUUACACCACCCAUAUGAGAUGACUAGUAGGACAGUCAUCAGCUGGACCCAGCUUAGCUGAGUUCUAGUCCUGACUUGGUAUAUCCAAAGGUCUCCGCAUCUUCCUGGACCUCAGAUGACUGGGUAUCCUUUUGUAGAAUGCCAGCUCAUGAAAAAAAAAAAAUGUGUGCCUCAUCUAGCUCCUCCCCUGUCACGUGACACCUGGAUGGCCUUUAGUGCAUCACGGACCAUGGCAAGUCAACCAGGACAUGGAAUCCACCCAGACCAGUGGGACCCACAGUUUGCUUGUUAUCUCAGUUUUAAAGUCCUCUGGGGUGGCACUGUUUGGGGAGGUCUAGCGAUGUGGCCUUGCUGAAGGAAGUAUGUCACAGGGAGUGGACUUUGGGGUUAAAAAGCCAUGUGCUGUUCCCAGGGCCUGCUCUCUGCUUCCUGUGGUUCAAGACUUGAACUCCCAGCUCGCUGCUCCAGCUGCCAUGCCCGCUGCUUUCCGCCAUGCUUCCGCGAUGGACUCUUGCCCCCACUCCGGAACCCCAAACUCAAAUAAACUCCUCCUUCUGUGA
Non-coding RNA from Peromyscus maniculatus bairdii (prairie deer mouse), 999 nucleotides. Lineage: Eukaryota; Metazoa; Chordata; Mammalia; Rodentia; Cricetidae. The record is from RefSeq and is a predicted model, not a curated record.